This 473-nucleotide ribosomal RNA is filed under the name uncultured bacterium. RNAcentral's name for it is "bacterial SSU rRNA". It matches the Rfam family "Bacterial small subunit ribosomal RNA", at positions 355 to 825 of the family's 1533-position model. The record is from RNAcentral.
UGGGGAAUAUUGGACAAUGGGCGAAAGCCUGAUCCAGCCAUGCCGCGUGUGUGAAGAAGGUCUUCGGAUUGUAAAGCACUUUUAAGUUGGGAGGAAGGGCAGUUACCUAAUACGUGAUUGUUUUGACGUUACCGACAGAAUAAGCACCGGCUAACUCUGUGCCAGCAGCCGCGGUAAUACAGAGGGUGCAAGCGUUAAUCGGAAUUACUGGGCGUAAAGCGCGCGUAGGUGGUUAGUUAAGUUGGAUGUGAAAUCCCCGGGCUCAACCUGGGAACUGCAUUCAAAACUGACUGACUAGAGUAUGGUAGAGGGUGGUGGAAUUUCCUGUGUAGCGGUGAAAUGCGUAGAUAUAGGAAGGAACACCAGUGGCGAAGGCGACCACCUGGACUGAUACUGACACUGAGGUGCGAAAGCGUGGGGAGCAAACAGGAUUAGAUACCCCUGUAGUCCCUGAGCGGGCUGGCAAGGCGCAU